RNAcentral lists this ribosomal RNA (497 nucleotides) under uncultured bacterium. RNAcentral's name for it is "partial 16S ribosomal RNA". It matches the Rfam family "Bacterial small subunit ribosomal RNA", at positions 28 to 507 of the family's 1533-position model. The record is from RNAcentral.
GAUGAACGCUGGCGGCGUGCCUAAUACAUGCAAGUCGAGCGAACAGAUGAGGAGCUUGCUCCUCUGACGUUAGCGGCGGACGGGUGAGUAACACGUGGAUAACCUACCUAUAAGACUGGGAUAACUUCGGGAAACCGGAGCUAAUACCGGAUAAUAUAUUGAACCGCAUGGUUCAAUAGUGAAAGACGGUUUUGCUGUCACUUAUAGAUGGAUCCGCGCCGCAUUAGCUAGUUGGUAAGGUAACGGCUUACCAAGGCAACGUUGCGUAGCCGACCUGAGAGGGUGAUCGGCCACACUGGAACUGAGACACGGUCCAGACUCCUACGGGAGGCAGCAGUAGGGAAUCUUCCGCAAUGGGCGAAAGCUUGACGGAGCAACGCCGCGUGAGUGAUGAAGGUCUUCGGAUCGUAAAACUCUGUUAUUAGGGAAGAACAAAUGUGUAAGUAACUAUGCACGUCUUGACGGUACCUAAUCAGAAAGCCACGGCUAACUACGUG